GGUUGAUCCUGCCGGACCCCACUGCUACCGGGAUAGGACUAAGACAUGCUAGUCGCGUGCCUCAGCCAAAACGAGGCACGGCACACAGCUCAGUAACACGUGGCUAAUCUGCCCUUGGGAUAGGAAUACCCCCGGGAAACUGGGACUAAUUCCCAAUAGGUGAAGAACUCUGGAAUGAGUCUCCACCAGAAAAGAGCUUACGUUAUGCUCGUAAGUUUCGCCCAAGGAUGAGGCCGCGACCGAUCAGGUUGUUGGCGAGGUAAUGGCUCACCAAGCCUUUUACCGGUGCGGGCCGUGGGAGCGGGAGCCCGGAGAUGGGUACUGAGACAAGGACCCAGGCCCUACGGGGCGCAGCAGUCGCGAAAACUUUGCAAUAAGCGCAAGCUUGACAGGGCUAUCCCGAGCGCCAUCCGCUGAGGAAGGCUUUUACCCAGUCUAGAACGCUGGGGGAAUAAGGAGAGGGCAAGUCUGGUGUCAGCCGCCGCGGUAAUACCAGCUCUCCGAGUGGUGUGGAUGUUUAUUGGGCCUAAAGCAUCCGUAGCUGGCUAAGUUAGUCCCCUGUUAAAUCCACUGAAUUAAUCGUUGGAUCGCGGGGGAUACUGCUUGGCUAGGGGACGAGAGAGGCAGACGGUAUUUUCGGGGUAGGGGUGAAAUCCUAUAAUCCCGGGAAGACCACCAGUGGCGAAGGCUGUCUGCUAGAACGCGCCCGACGGUGAGGGAUGAAAGCUGGGGGAGCGAACCGGAUUAGAUACCCGGGUAGUCCCAGCUGUAAACGAUGCAGGCUAGGUGUUUGGACGGCCACGUGCCGUUCUAGUGCCGCAGGGAAGCUGUUAAGCCUGCCGCCUGGGGAGUACGAUCGCAAG
RNAcentral lists this ribosomal RNA (863 nucleotides) under uncultured archaeon. Its description in RNAcentral is "bacterial SSU rRNA". It matches the Rfam family "Archaeal small subunit ribosomal RNA", at positions 6 to 847 of the family's 1478-position model. The record is from RNAcentral.